UUUAUCAACAUGAUACAUUAAGUCUGUCUGGAAGAUAAACAAGAGGACAUAUUGCGGUGACAUACGAACUCUUUUCAAGUUGUGCAUCCUAGGAGAUAGAUUACAUGAUGCAGUGUGCCUUUUCCAGCUCAUGCCUCUGAGCUGAACUGUGAUGUCCUUCCUGAGGACAAGCUGCAUUUUAUCCCACAGCCACAGGGUCCAGGUUUCUCCCUUUUCACUUCCUUUACAUCUAUCCAAUGUUGAAGCUCCUGAACGAGUGGCACCAGAUAUUUACCUCUGCAGUGCAGAGAAGAAUCAAUCCCAUGGAAGCAAAUCCAGUAAAUAAAACUGGGAUGUUCCAAUGGGCAAUGUCUGUUCACAAAUAACAGGAAGAUGUUUCAUGUUCACCAGGAAGGUGUAAGAGCUUUGCAGAGUAGCUAAAGUCUACAUUCUUCAACAGCAUACAGCAGUUAUCAGUUAAUGAGAAGACUUGUACCCUUGUCCACACUUGCAUCACUACAGCUUCUUAAAUGAGCUGAUGUGCUGCAACUGAGGAUUAAACCAUCUCUUUCAAUAUUGCAUGCACUGCAGCACAAGUCACUCACUCCAGCAAACACAGAGGUGAUUGCAGACCUGGGAAAGUCAAGAUGAGCAGAAACCCUUGUGUG
Long non-coding RNA from Oxyura jamaicensis (ruddy duck), 647 nucleotides. RefSeq lists it as uncharacterized. The record is from RefSeq and is a predicted model, not a curated record. The transcript is spliced from 3 exons. Lineage: Eukaryota; Metazoa; Chordata; Aves; Anseriformes; Anatidae.